GUGCCAGCGGCCGCGGUAAUACGUAGGUGGCAAGCGUUAUCCGGAAUUAUUGGGCGUAAAGCGCGCGUAGGCGGUUUUUUAAGUCUGAUGUGAAAGCCCACGGCUCAACCGUGGAGGGUCAUUGGAAACUGGAGAACUUGAGUGCAGAAGAGGAAAGUGGAAUUCCAUGUGUAGCGGUGAAAUGCGCAGAGAUAUGGAGGAACACCAGUGGCGAAGGCGACUUUCUGGUCUGUAACUGACGCUGAUGUGCGAAAGCGUGGGGAUCAAACAG
Molecule: ribosomal RNA, 271 nt
Filed under: uncultured Staphylococcus sp.
Lineage: Bacteria; Bacillati; Bacillota; Bacilli; Caryophanales; Staphylococcaceae
Description: partial 16S ribosomal RNA
Rfam family: Bacterial small subunit ribosomal RNA
Source: RNAcentral